AUACAACUUUUGACAACGGAUCUCUUGGUUCUCCCAUCGAUGAAGAACGCAGCGAAUUGCGAUAAGUAAUGUGAAUUGCAGAAUUCAGUGAAUCAUCGAAUCUUUGAACGCACCUUGCGCCUUUGGGUAUUCUCAAAGGCAUGCCUGUUUGAGUGUCAUAA
Molecule: ribosomal RNA, 161 nt
Filed under: Tilletia barclayana
Lineage: Eukaryota; Fungi; Basidiomycota; Exobasidiomycetes; Tilletiales; Tilletiaceae
Description: 5.8S ribosomal RNA
Rfam family: 5.8S ribosomal RNA
About the family: 5.8S ribosomal RNA (5.8S rRNA) is a component of the large subunit of the eukaryotic ribosome. It is transcribed by RNA polymerase I as part of the 45S precursor that also contains 18S and 28S rRNA. Functionally, it is thought that 5.8S rRNA may be involved in ribosome translocation.
Source: RNAcentral